RNAcentral lists this ribosomal RNA (497 nucleotides) under uncultured bacterium. Its description in RNAcentral is "partial 16S ribosomal RNA". It matches the Rfam family "Bacterial small subunit ribosomal RNA", at positions 28 to 507 of the family's 1533-position model. The record is from RNAcentral.
GUUGAACGCUGGCGGCGUGCCUAAUACAUGCAAGUCGAGCGAACAGAUGAGGAGCUUGCUCCUCUGACGUUACCGGCGGACGGGUGAUUAACACGUGGAUAACCUACCUAUAAGACUGGGAUAACUUCGGGAAACCGGAUCUAAUACCCGAUAUUAUAUUGAACGGCAUGGAUCAUCAGUGCAAGACGGUUCUGCUGUCACUUAUAGAUGGAUCCUCGCCGCAUUAGCUAGUUGGUAAGGUAACGGCUUACCAAGGCAACGAUGCGUAGCCGACCUGAGAGGGUGAUCGGCCACACUGGAACUGAGACACGGUCCAGACUCCUACGGGAGGCAGCAAUAGGGAAUCUUCCGCAAUGGGCGAAAGCCUGACGGAGCAACGCCGCGUGAGUGAUGAAGGUCUUCGGAUCGUAAAACUCUGUUAUUAGGGAAGAACAAAUGUGUAAGUAACUAUGCACGUCUUGACGGUACCUAAUCAGAAAGCCACGGCUAACUACGUG